UUGAAGUUUGUUGCGUGCCGUCCUUUGAUUGGUCCGGACCCACCGGGUGAUCGAUUUAUUGAUGGCAGCAGCUUUUCUAAGAAUAUGGGCAGAGGUCUUCCCAGCUACGCUAAUGCCGUGUCCCUUUGGAACCACUCACCAGACGGAGCUGCCCUUUGAGGCUCUUGACCAUGGCGCUGUAGGAAUCAGCCAGGGCCUUCAGGUAGAACAUGAUGAUGCUUGGAGGGGCGAAGUCAAAAGAAAAGGCAGGGGACAGGAAACAGAGAGGAAAAGCCACUAGUUUGGCACAAAGGAGCUGUGACAGGCCAACAUCAGACAUACGAUGCCUCCAAGAUGGAGAACACCUGCACAACUUGGAAACGUCCUGAGCAAGUUCCACUGUAGGAUGGGGAGAGGGCUGAGAGAAGGUGAUAUACUUACACAAAAAUGCUGUAUAGGGUAGAAACAAAAGAAAUCCCCAGACCAAUGAGCAAAACCAGAAGAAAGAAGAAAUUGGAGCUGGAGGCACGGAAUGUCUUUUCAGCUGGGCGGCAGUUGCUGAAGAGGGAUAGCUAGGAUGACAAGAGGAGAAAAACCCAUGAGCUCAAGAGACAUAGCCCUGGUCUUUCCUGCUGUAACCUAUCUGCCAUUCUCUUCCCAAAACACCCUGGCAGUUUUAACACUGCUUUAUUAGGCUCUCAUAGUCCCUUUUGCCCUCAAUCUUGCCUCACCUUGCCAUUCCAAGAAAGAGACAGAAGAAGUGGUCGGACGAUGUGGGGCGAUUACAGGUGGAAGGCUGGACCCCCACCCUGAAAUUCCAUGAAUGAGGCAGGGCAAAGGCACAGCUGGAGCCUUGCCUGGAAGCCCCCAGAACCCCUCUUUGGGAAGUCUUCGCUUUCAGAGCCAUCUCCCUUCCUGGAUCACCUUUUUCAGAUAGAAGAUGGCAAUGAACUUGAAGGUGUUGAGCACAGGCAGCAGAGGGCAGAAAAGAGCUCCAGU
This is a long non-coding RNA of Varanus komodoensis (Komodo dragon), 978 nucleotides long. RefSeq lists it as uncharacterized. NCBI's taxonomy places the organism in Eukaryota, Metazoa, Chordata, Lepidosauria, Squamata, Varanidae. The transcript is spliced from 4 exons. The record is from RefSeq and is a predicted model, not a curated record.